Molecule: ribosomal RNA, 520 nt
Filed under: uncultured Glomus
Lineage: Eukaryota; Fungi; Glomeromycota; Glomeromycetes; Glomerales; Glomeraceae
Description: SSU rRNA
Rfam family: Eukaryotic small subunit ribosomal RNA
Source: RNAcentral
AGCAGCCGCGGUAAUUCCAGCUCCAAUAGCGUAUAUUAAAGUUGUUGCAGUUAAAAAGCUCGUAGUUGAAUUUCGGGAUUAGUACGUCGGUCGUGCCUUGGUACGUACUGGUGUAACUGAUUCCUCCCUUCUGACGAACCGUUAUGCCAUUAAUUUGGUGUGGCGGGAAAUCAGGACUGUUACUUUGAAAAAAUUAGAGUGUUUAAAGCAGGCUCGCGCUUGAAUACAUUAGCAUGGAAUAAUGAAAUAGGACGUUAAUCCUAUUUUGUUGGUUUCUAGGAUCGACGUAAUGAUUAAUAGGGAUAGUUGGGGGCAUUAGUAUUCAAUUGUCAGAGGUGAAAUUCUUGGAUUUAUUGAAGACUAACUACUGCGAAAGCAUUUGCCGAGGAUGUUUUCAUUAAUCAAGAACGAAAGUUAGGGGAUCGAAGACGAUCAGAUACCGUCGUAGUCUUAACCNUAAACUAUGCCGACUAGGGAUCGGAUGAUGUUAAUUUUUAAUGACUCAUUUCGGCGCCUUACG